RNAcentral lists this ribosomal RNA (350 nucleotides) under Oscillospiraceae bacterium. RNAcentral's name for it is "bacterial SSU rRNA". It matches the Rfam family "Bacterial small subunit ribosomal RNA", at positions 1 to 350 of the family's 1533-position model. The record is from RNAcentral. Lineage: Bacteria; Bacillati; Bacillota; Clostridia; Eubacteriales; Oscillospiraceae.
ACUUUAAAGAGUUUGAUCCUGGCUCAGGACGAACGCUGGCGGCGCGCCUAACACAUGCAAGUCGAACGGUGAAAUGAAGCUUGCUUCAUGGAUCAGUGGCGGACGGGUGAGUAACACGUGAGCAACCUGCCUUUCAGUGGGGGACAACAGUUGGAAACGACUGCUAAUACCGCAUAACGUGCUUGGGGGGCAUCCCCUGAGUACCAAAGAUUUAUCGCUGAAAGAUGGGCUCGCGUCUGAUUAGAUAGUUGGUGAGGUAACGGCCCACCAAGUCGACGAUCAGUAGCCGGACUGAGAGGUUGAACGGCCACAUUGGGACUGAGACACGGCCCAGACUCCUACGGGAGGCA